This 6063-nucleotide long non-coding RNA is filed under the name Olea europaea (common olive). RNAcentral's name for it is "long non-coding RNA (OEUR_LNC013864)". The record is from RNAcentral. Lineage: Eukaryota; Viridiplantae; Streptophyta; Magnoliopsida; Lamiales; Oleaceae.
AAAAUCAAAUGUUUAAAUAAAUAAAUAUUGCAAUGGGCUCACAGUAAUUACUUCAUGUUUUAUCAAAUUGACUCAUGUCAUUCAAUAUGUCGUGUGGCUCCAACUCUAGAAUCACUAGGCUUCUCAACCCAUCAAGGACUAGUACAAUACUACCUGUAAGAAUAAUUUUAGAAAAAUAUAAGUUGAUAGCUUAGUGAGUAGAAGAGUUCAAAAAUAAUUAUACUUUCUCCUUUAAACAUUUUACCAAAUAUCAAGUUCAUAUCGUUUAAUAUUCACAUGAUAAACUCAUACAAUGAUAGCAAAAAAGUAAGACAUUCUUAUAACACUGUAAAUAUCAUCUCAUAAUCAUGAUAUAGUCUUCAGCUGAUAUCUAUACCAUCAUCUCAUUACAUCACAUGUGAUCCACCAAAAAUAUACCAUUUUACUAAAAUCUGAAAUUCCGCCCCUCAGGCCAAACACUUUUGUCACGGGCCUCUAGCCCUCUCCUGAAUGAAAGUGGGUCUCAUUAACUCUGGUAAUCAAUUUUAGAACAUGGUCAAGGCCCCUCAGUGAAUUAUAUGUACACGGUCACGACCCCUCAUCCCUAGUCAACCCCUUAGUGUAGUAUAGAAUACGGCCAAGGUGUCUUAGUGAAUUAGAAAAAAAUAUAUAAUCAUGGGUACUUUUCAGGUCGAUCUUAAUAUUACAUGUCUCACAUACCAAACACAAAUGUGUCAUAAAUGAUCUUUGAGAUUCCAAAUGUAUCAUAGUAAAAGAAAUUUUCAUAAUAAUCAUAUAAUCGCACACAUAAUUGCAUAUAAUUGCACGUACUUUGAUAAUAUACUUAAUUUAUAAAUACUUUAAAAAUAUUCAUAUUUUUUCACUCACAGAUCUAUGGACAGAAAUCUGGCUAAAUUGACGAAUCUUUCCAAACUUUCACAUCACUACCUGAAAUAACGGUAUAAUUACUCAAAUUAAAACUUGACAAUUAAAUUAAUACAUUCCACCACUUAACCCCUCAACUUCUAUAUUUACUCUUACAUCUCCAAUUCCCCAACUUUCAUUCUGUUUAUUAUUCAUCAACUAAACACCAUGCAUUAUCAAAUCCGUUAAAUUACUCAUACUUCCUUAAAAUCAAGAACUUAUACAUAUACAAGCCCUAUACAUAAUUUAUUUCAAUACAUAAACCUCAAUACUUGUCAUAUAACUUCAUUCAAGCCUUUAAAAAUAUGAAAAUAAGAGUUUUGACAAAAAAGUACUAAAAUGCCAUAAUAUUGAAAUCUGGCAGCAAAACCUUUGACAGAAUUAGCACUAUUCUGGGCAGAUUUUCAGAGGAACACCUAUGUGAGAUUUUGUCCAAAAAUUGCUUAUAAUAAUUACUUAAAAGGGAGAAAUCAACCUCAAUUCCUUAAUUUAAAUGCUUGACAUCAUAUAACCCCAAGAAAAUCAUUGAAUAAAUAUCUAUUUCAUAAACCCUAAAGAUUUCAUUAAAAUAUUUUCACUCACCUAUUGAAUACAAAGAGGAAUUGAGAAUACAAACUUGAAAAAUGGGCGGCUGCCUCUUCUUUCCUUUUUUUUCCCCUUUCUCCGUCUCUAGUCGUUCUCCCCUAUUCUUUGCGUAUUUUGGCCCAAGAAUGAGAAAAUUUGGUCUUUAUCUCUUAAUUUAAUGGGUAGCUUUGGAUUAAUUGCAAGCCAAGUCCCUCAAUCUUGAUUCAAUGUUACAUUUAGUUCUUACAUCCUCAAAAAUAGAAACUAGACCCCUAAUCUUCAUUCAACGUUACAUUUAGUUCUUACAUCCUCAAAAAUAGAAACUAGAUCCCUAGACUUCUUUUAUGACAUAUUUCUCUCCCUUGAAUACUUAUAAUUACAAUUUAUGUCCCAUAAAAAUUAUUUGUUCAACUUAAGUCCUUAUUGACUUUGACUUUGACCAAUUACUUUGUUUGACUUUGACUAAAAAUGGGUGGAGUGUAACAAUCUUACCCCUUUUAAAGAAUUUCGUUCUCGAAAUUCAAUCAGCUCAAAUUCGAACGUGUAAGAAUAAUGCAUGCAUGUAAUCAUCACUUGCUAUCAUACCUCUUCCAUUGGAUGAAUUUUUUUUUUCCAACAACUUUAAUGAGUCAUAGAAUUCAUUCUUUCCAAUCCUACUUCGAAUAACAUCCUAAGAACCAAUAUACGAUAUUCUCUAAUUUUCCUUUUACCAAACCUUAGGAAAACUCAAUUAUUUCAAUAACUUGAAGUUCAAGAUACUAUUUUUCAUGUUCUCUAAAUCUUCACCUUACGUCAUAAUUUAAACUAUUCUCUAAUCAAAUUCUUUUUCUGUAACAAUGGUUCACCGAGUAGAAGCUGGCAUUAACUUGGAACCCCAUGCAUCACUUAAAUUUUCACCAUUUCGAAUAAAAAUAUACCUUAAAUUCCGAUGAUAGUAAGUAUCAAUGUUUCUCACAAUGCGGUAACACCACAUUUCCUAAAUUCAACCUCAGUUUAAGCAACAAUAAAUCAUGCCUCUUCAACAAUCUACAGUAUCAUCCAUAAUUUAUAAGUUUACUUCAGAAUACUUUCUAAACCUUAACAUAAUCCAUUAUUAUAAAUCAAACCUUAAUUUGCUUUAGAUACAUGAGUAAAUAUUUUCGCAGAAUUUAAUCUGAUUACAAAACUUUUUACAUUUCUAAACCCACAAAAUUUUGAUGCUCUUUCUUUGUAUACUAAUGCAUAAGCCUUCUGGUAUAUCGUACAAAAACCUUUAAUUAAGAUUAUAACCCAAAGAUACUGUCUCACAAUUGAAUAAAAUUUACGUUCAAUGAUCAUUCUAAGUUCAAACUAUUCAACAUAUCAUCCAUAUAUUCCAUAGCAAAUAAAUCUCAAUAAAAAAUUAUACGUAAAAUCCAUAAAUACAAUCGAAAAUCACCCAAAAAUUACAUCACUAAAAUUUCAUUAAAUUCAUCUUAACUUCAAAAUUAAAGCUUCCUAAUUGUAUAUAAUACAACAUAAUCCAACAAACGGCCUUGACAAAACUAAUUAACUUUAAUAACCUAAAUAUUUCAUCACAUUAUUUUGCUACAGAACAUCCUGUACAUGCUAUUCACCAUAUCAUGUAGCCUUGUCAUUUAUCGUCAUAUUAUUUAACCUCAAACAUUUAAGUAUACCAAUUUCCCUUAAGAUCACAAAAUAAUAACCUUCCACACAUCAAUGUACCACCAAGAUUGCACAAGUUAAUUUUCCAAUCUCAAUAGAUUCCAACUCUACCUUUCUCUACUCCUUUUUAUUUCUCAAUUCCCAUAAACAUAUCUGAAUGCACAUGUCCAUUUAAUUCUAUUUUUUAAUCAACAAAUAACCAAAUAAUAAGUGAUCAUUAUGAAAUAUAUCCCUAUUUGUCUUAUAUCCCUUAUAAUCAAACAACUUAUAAGUAAUUAAAAUAGUUGGAAUCACCUAAAUGUUAAUUCCAUCGACGCUUAAGAUAUACAAUAACACAUUGUUAUCUAUCAAUCAACACAUCAUCAUUUUGGCUUCCACAAGCUCUUAUCAUGUAGCAUAAGCAUACACCAUCAUGAUUCUCUAUCAUCAUCCCAUACAAGUGCCCACACACCACCACAAAAUUUUGAUAGCGCCACUAAUCAUUUAGCUUCCCAAAAUAAUUAAAAUUUCUCACCUAAUUAUCACCAAUUACACACAUAAUAUCGUUUUUAUUGUUAUUAUAGUACAAGCUAGAGCUAGAGAUUUGCCAAGUGUAUAUUAAAAACCACAAAAUUCUACACAAAGAUUGGUACUUAAAUGGUUGUACCCUCUAUCACUUCGAAUGUCUAUAAGUAAAUAACCGGCAAUACCAUCAAGACUUUCACCUUCAAAUUAACAAUCUAUUCAACUCUUAAAAAGCUACAUAUGCCAUCAUUCCAACCCAACAACUAAUAACACUUUCAACCAUUAGAUCAUGUAACUGAUGUACUUACAUAUACUCAUUUUUGAAUCUGUUAAAAGUAUUCUUCUACCAUUUUAGGUUCCAAACAUUUGAGCUUGAGAACCUGUGAUUUUCCCCACCAAGACAUGUGACCUUACGCACUGAAUAUGCAUGAUAUGUCAAUUUAUGAACUACAAAGACUUUGAAAAUUUUAUAGGCCAUGCUCUGAUACCACUCUGACACAACCCGUCCCGAAUUACCCUAUGGACUCGAAACGUGAAGUGCGCCAAUAGAAGAUGCAGAUUAGAUGCUAGAUCCACCACCAAGGCUGACUAUGAGUUAUUACAAAAUAUACGACAAAACCAAUUGUUUAAAUAAAUAAAUAUUGCAAUGGGCCCACAGUAAUUACUUCAUGUCUUAUCAAAUUGACUCAUGCCAUUCAAUAUGUCAUGUGGCUCCAACUCUGAAAUCACUAGGCUCUUCAAGGACUAAUACAAUACUACCUGUAAGAAUAAUUUUAUAAAAAUAUGAGUUGAUAGCUUAGUGAGUGGAAGAGUUCAAAAAUAAUUAUACUUUCUCCUUUAAACAUUUUUACCAAAUAUCAAGUUCAUAUCUUUUAAUAUUUGCAUGAUAGACUCAUACAAUUAUAGCAAAAAAGUAAGAAAUUCUUAUAACAUUGUAAAAAUCAUCCAUGGGUUCACUCUUUCUAUAGCAGAAGAUCAAGUUACACACACAUCUGCUUAUAUAAGAAUAUACUUCAUAAGAGUGGAACUGAAUUCCACUAACCGCUUCUUGUUGACAAAGUUGCCCAAUUAAAUGAAUGUGUUUGCGUCCUCUCUUCUUAGUUUACGAUUAUCCCCGCUCUUCCAAGGAGGGGCUAUUCAUAUUAGACUACGGCCUCCAACUCUAAACAGAACCUUCCUUCCGCAAGGCAAAGCCAAUAUCUUUCAAUUUUAGUAGACAUCGGUACGAUUGUAGGAUGUUAUAACUCAUAAGGCAAUGAUGGGGGAGUACUAUUAACACCCAUCUCUUUCUCAUCAUAAUCACGAUAUAGUCAUCAGCUGAUAUAUAUACCAUUAUCUUAUCACAUCAUAUGUGAUCCAUAAAAAAUGUACUCUCUAACUAAAAUCUAAAAUCCACCCCUCAGGCCAAACACUUUCGCCAAGGGCCUUUGGCCCCCUCCUGAACGAAAGUGGGUCUCAUGACCUCUAGUAAUCAAUUCUAGAAUACGGCCAAGACCCCUCAGUGAACUAUAUGUACACGAGCAUGACCCCUACAUCCCUAGUCGACCCCUCAAUGUAGUAUAGAACACAACCAAUGCCCCUCAGUGAACUAGAAGAAAUAUAUAAUCAUGAGUACAUUCUAGGUCGAUCUCAAUAUUACCUGUCUCACAUACCAAACACAAAUGUGCCAUAAAUGAUCUUUAAGAUCCCACAUGUAUCAUAAUAAAAGAAAUUUUCAUAAUAAUUAGAUAAUAUACUUAAUUUAUAAAUAUGUGGAAAAAUAUUUAUAUAUUUCCACUCAAAGAUCUAUGGAUAGAAAUUUGGCUAAAUUGACGAAUCUUUUCAAGCUUUCACAUCACUACUUGAAAUAACGAUAUAAUUACUCAAAUUAAAACGUGACAAUUAAAUUAAUACAAUUCCACCACUUAACUCCUCAACUUCUAUAUUUACUCUUACAUCACAAAUUUCCCAACUUUCAUUCUCUUUAUUGAUUCAUCAACUAAACACCAUGCAUUAUCAAAUCCAUUAAAUUACUCACACUUCCUUAGAAUCAAUAACUUAUACAAGCCCUAUACAUAAUUUGUUCCAAUAUAUAAAUUUCAAUACUUGUCAUAUAACUUCAUUCAAGUCUUUAAAAAUCUGAAAAUAAGAGUUUUGACAAAAACAAUACUAAAAUCCCAUAAUAUUGAAAUUUGGCAGCAAAACCUUUGACAGAAUUAGCACUAUUCUGGGCAGAUUUUCAAAAGGAACACCUAUGUGGGAUUUUGUCCAAAAUUUGCUUAUAAUAAUUACUUAAAAAGGGAGAAAUCAACUUCAAUUCCUUAAUUUAAAUGCUUGACAUCAUAUAAUCCCAAGAAAAUCAAUGAAUAAAUAUAUAUUUCAUAAACCCUAAAGAUUUCAUUAAAAUAUUUUCACUCACCUAUUGAAUACAAAGAGGAAUUGAGAAUACAAACUUGAAAAAUGGGCGGC